RNAcentral lists this ribosomal RNA (253 nucleotides) under uncultured bacterium. RNAcentral describes it as "partial 16S ribosomal RNA". It matches the Rfam family "Bacterial small subunit ribosomal RNA", at positions 524 to 776 of the family's 1533-position model. The record is from RNAcentral.
UACGGGGGGGGCAAGCGUUGUUCGGAAUUACUGGGCGUAAAGGGCUCGUAGGUGGCCAACUAAGUCAGACGUGAAAUCCCUCGGCUUAACCGGGGAACUGCGUCUGAUACUGGAUGGCUUGAGGUUGGGAGAGGGAUGCGGAAUUCCAGGUGUAGCGGUGAAAUGCGCAGAUAUCAGGAGGAACACCAGUGGCGAAGGCGCCGCUCUGGGCCGUAACUGACGCUGAGAAGCGAAAGCGUGGGGAGCAAACAGG